UCCGGCUUAUCACCGGCAGUCCCCUUAGAGUGCCCAACUAAAUGAUGGCAACUAAGGGCGAGGGUUGCGCUCGUUGCGGGACUUAACCCAACAUCUCACGACACGAGCUGACGACAGCCAUGCAGCAUCUGUGCAUGGACUCCGAAGAGCGACCCUGAUCUCUCAGGAUCUUCCCAUGCAUGUCAAGCCCAGGUAAGGUUCUUCGCGUUGCGUCGAAUUAAACCACACGCUCCGCUGCUUGUGCGGGCCCCCGUCAAUUCCUUUGAGUUUCAGUCUUGCGACCGUACUCCCCAGGCGGAGUGCUUAAUGUGUUGACUUCGGCACAGCAGGGGUCGAUACCCGCUACACCAAGCACUCAUCGUUUACGGCGUGGACUAC
Molecule: unclassified non-coding RNA, 378 nt
Filed under: uncultured bacterium
Lineage: Bacteria
Description: contains 16S-23S intergenic spacer region
Source: RNAcentral